RNAcentral lists this ribosomal RNA (788 nucleotides) under Paenibacillus sp. GSMTC-2017. Its description in RNAcentral is "Bacterial large subunit ribosomal RNA". It matches the Rfam family "Bacterial large subunit ribosomal RNA", at positions 2131 to 2925 of the family's 2925-position model. Lineage: Bacteria; Bacillati; Bacillota; Bacilli; Caryophanales; Paenibacillaceae. The record is from Rfam by way of RNAcentral.
GAUCUGUACAGGAUAGGUGGGAGCCUUUGAAGCAUGAGCGCCAGCUUGUGUGGAGGCGACGUUGGGAUACCACCCUGAUCGUAUCGGAGUUCUAACCUACUACCGUGAAACCGGUAGAGGGACCGUGUCAGGCGGGCAGUUUGACUGGGGCGGUCGCCUCCUAAAAUGUAACGGAGGCGCCCAAAGGUUCCCUCAGAAUGGUUGGAAAUCAUUCGAAGAGUGCAAAGGCAUAAGGGAGCUUGACUGCGAGACCUACAAGUCGAGCAGGGACGAAAGUCGGGCUUAGUGAUCCGGUGGUACCGAAUGGAAGGGCCAUCGCUCAACGGAUAAAAGCUACCCUGGGGAUAACAGGCUUAUCUCCCCCAAGAGUCCACAUCGACGGGGAGGUUUGGCACCUCGAUGUCGGCUCAUCGCAUCCUGGGGCUGAAGUAGGUCCCAAGGGUUGGGCUGUUCGCCCAUUAAAGCGGUACGCGAGCUGGGUUCAGAACGUCGUGAGACAGUUCGGUCCCUAUCUGUCGCGGGCGUAGGAAAUUUGAGAGGAGCUGUCCUUAGUACGAGAGGACCGGGAUGGACGUACCGCUGGUGUACCAGUUGUUCCGCCAGGAGCACCGCUGGGUAGCCAAGUACGGACGGGAUAAGCGCUGAAAGCAUCUAAGCGUGAAGCCCCCCUCAAGAUGAGAUUUCCCAGUAUGUAAGACCCCUUGAAGACGACGAGGUUGAUAGGUUCGGGGUGGAAGUGCAGUAAUGUACGGAGCUGACGAAUACUAAUCGGUCGAGGGCUUAUCCUA